ACUCCAUGAAGUCGGAAUCGCUAGUAAUCGUAGAUCAGAAUGCUACGGUGAAUACGUUCCCGGGCCUUGUACACACCGCCCGUCACACCAUGGGAGUGGGUUGCAAAAGAAGUAGGUAGCUUAACCUUCGGGAGGGCGCUUACCACUUUGUGAUCCAUGACUGGGGUGAAGUCGUAACAAGGUAACCGUAGGGGAACCUGCGGUUGGAUCACCUCCUUACC
This 221-nucleotide ribosomal RNA is filed under the name Morganella morganii. RNAcentral describes it as "partial 16S ribosomal RNA". It matches the Rfam family "Bacterial small subunit ribosomal RNA", at positions 1315 to 1533 of the family's 1533-position model. Lineage: Bacteria; Pseudomonadati; Pseudomonadota; Gammaproteobacteria; Enterobacterales; Morganellaceae. The record is from RNAcentral.